This 237-nucleotide ribosomal RNA is filed under the name uncultured bacterium. RNAcentral describes it as "partial 16S ribosomal RNA". It matches the Rfam family "Bacterial small subunit ribosomal RNA", at positions 524 to 757 of the family's 1533-position model. The record is from RNAcentral.
UACGGAGGAGGCAAGCGUUAUCCGGAAUUAUUGGGCGUAAAGCGUCCGCAGGUGGCAAAAUCAAGUCUGCCGUCAAAGACCGGGGCUUAACCCUGGAAAGGCGGUGGAAACUGAAUUGCUAGAGUGUCGUAGGGGUAGAGGGAAUUCCCGGUGUAGCGGUGAAAUGCGUAGAGCUCGGGAAGAACAUCGGUGGCGAAAGGCGCUCUACUGGACGACAACGUGACACUCAGGGACGAA